UACGAAGGGGGCUAGCGUUGCUCGGAAUCAUUGGGCGUAAAGAGCGCGUAGGCGGCUAGAUAAGUCCGGUGUGAAGGUCACAGGCUCAACCUGUGAAUGCCGCUGGAAACUGUCUGGCUAGAGUCCGGAAGGGGCGAGUGGAAUUCCUGGUGUAGCGGUGAAAUGCGCAGAUAUCAGGAGGAACACCAAUGGCGAAGGCAGCUCGCUGGGACGGUACUGACGCUGAGGCGCGAAAGCGUGGGGAGCAAACAGG
RNAcentral lists this ribosomal RNA (253 nucleotides) under uncultured bacterium. RNAcentral's name for it is "partial 16S ribosomal RNA". It matches the Rfam family "Bacterial small subunit ribosomal RNA", at positions 524 to 776 of the family's 1533-position model. The record is from RNAcentral.